AUACGGAGGGGGCAAGCGUUGUUCGGAAUUACUGGGCGUAAAGGGCGCGUAGGCGGGAAGUCAAGUUAGGGGUGAAAGGCCUGGGCUCAACCUAGGAACUGCCUCUAAAACUGGCUAUCUAGAGUCCGAGAGAGGAUGGCGGAAUUCCCAGUGUAGAGGUGAAAUUCGUAGAUAUUGGGAAGAACACCAGUGGCGAAGGCGGCCAUCUGGCCCGGCACUGACGCUGAGGCGCGAGAGCGUGGGGAGCAAACAGGAUUAGAUACCCCAGUAGUCC
This 274-nucleotide ribosomal RNA is filed under the name uncultured bacterium. RNAcentral describes it as "partial 16S ribosomal RNA". It matches the Rfam family "Bacterial small subunit ribosomal RNA", at positions 523 to 796 of the family's 1533-position model. The record is from RNAcentral.